RNAcentral lists this ribosomal RNA (261 nucleotides) under uncultured bacterium. RNAcentral's name for it is "partial 16S ribosomal RNA". It matches the Rfam family "Bacterial small subunit ribosomal RNA", at positions 94 to 353 of the family's 1533-position model. The record is from RNAcentral.
AGCGGCGGACGGGUGAGUAACGCGUGGGUAACCUGCCUCAUACAGGGGGAUAACAGUUGGAAACGGCUGCUAAUACCGCAUAAGCGCACAGUACCGCAUGGUACCGUGUGAAAAACUCCGGUGGUAUGAGAUGGACCCGCGUCUGAUUAGCUAGUUGGUGGGGUAACGGCCUACCAAGGCGACGAUCAGUAGCCGACCUGAGAGGGUGACCGGCCACAUUGGGACUGAGACACGGCCCAAACUCCUAAGGGAGGCAGCAUG